CCAGACUCGGUUUCUUGGUUCCGUCCCAAAACGCCGAAGAAAGGCACAAUGGCCUAGAAAGGGAUAGUCGGACUUGGAACGGGGUCCGAGGCCUCGAAAGUCCACAUCUAGCUACUGGGUGGUCCGAUUCUGAGUGAUCUCGAACUUUCUUGUCCACAAAAGCCGAACGGUGACGCCCCAGACUCGGUUUCUUGGUUCCGUCCCAAAACGCCGAAGAAAGGCACAAUGGCCUAGAAAGGGACGGUCGGACUUGGAACGGGGUCCGAGGCCUCGAAAGUCCACAUCAAGCUACUGGGUGGUCCGAUUCUGAGUGAUCUCGAAGUUUCUAGCCACAAAAGCCGAACGGUGACGCCCCAGACUCGGUUUUUUGGUUCCGUCCCAAAACGCCGAAGAAAGGCACAAUGGCCUAGAAAGGGACGGUCGGACAUGGAACGGGGUCCGAGGCGUCGAAAGUCCACAUCUAGCUACUGGGUGGUCCGAUUCCGAGUGAUCUCGAAGUUUCUUGCCCACAAAAGCCGAACGGUGCGCCCCAGACUCGGUUUCUUGGUUCCGUCCCGAAACGCCGAAGAAAGGCACAAUGGCCUCGAAAGGGACGGUCGGACUUGGAACGGGGUCUGAGGCCUCGAAAGUCCACAUCUAGCUACUUGGUGGUCCGAUUCUGAGUGAUCUCGAAGUUUCUUGCCCAGAAAAGCCGAACGGUGUCGCCCUAGACUCGGUUUCUUGGUUCCGUCCCAAAACGCCGAAGAAAGGCACAAUGGCCCAGUAAGGGACGGUCGGACUAGGAACGGGGUCCGAGGCCUCGAAAGUCCACAUCUAGCUACUGGGUGGUCCGAUUCUGAGUGAUCUCGAAGUUUCUUGCCCACAAAAGCCGAACGGUGACGCCCCAGACUCGGUUUCUUGGUUUUGUCCCAUAACGCCGAAGAAAGGCACAGUGGCCUAGAAAGGGACGGUCGGACUUGGAACGGGGUCCUAGGCCUCGAAAGUCCACAUCUAGCUACUUGAUGGUCCGAUUCUGAGUGAUCUCGAAGUUUCUUGGCCACAAAAGCCGAACGGUGACGCCCCAGACUCGGUUUCUUGGUUCCGUACCAAAACGCCGAAGAAAGGCACAGUGGCCUAGAAAGGGACGGUCGGACUUGGAACGGGGUCCGAGGCCUCGAAAGUCCACAUCUAGCUACUGGGUGGUCCGAUUCUGAGUUAUCUCGAAGUUUCUUGCGCACAAAAACCAAACGGUGACGCCCCAGACUCGGUUUCUUGGUUCCUUCCGAAAACGCCGAAGAAAGACACAAUGGCCUAGAAAGGGACGGUCGGACUUGGAACGCAGUCCGGGGCCUCGAAAGUCCACAUCUAGCUACUGGGUGGUCCGAUUCUGAGUGAUCUCGAAGUUUCUUGCCCACAAAAGCCGAACGGUGUCGCCCCAGACUCGGUUUCUUGGUUCCGUCCCAAAACGUCGAAGAAAGGCACAUUGGCCUAGAAAGGGACGGUCGGACUUGGAACGGUGUCCGAGGCCUCGAAAGUCCACAUCUAGCUACUCCGUGGUCCGAUUCUGAGUGAUCUCGAAGUUUCUUGCCCACAAAAGGCGAACGGUGACGCCCCAGACUCGGUUUCUUGGUUCCGUCCAAAAACGCCGAAGAAAGGGACAAUGGCCUAGAAAGGGACGGUCGGACUUGGAACGCGGUCCGAGGCCUCGAAAGUCCACAUCUAACUACCGGGUGGUCCGAUUCUGAGUGAUCUCGAAGUUUCUUGCCCACAAAAGCUGAACGGUGACGCCCCAAACUCGGUUUCUUGGUUCCGUCCCAAAACGCCGAAGAAAGGCACAAUUUCCUAGAAAGGGACGAUCGGACUUGGAACGGGUCCGAGGCCUCGAAAGUCCACAUCUAGCUACUGGGUGGUCCGAUUCUGAGUGAUCUCGAAGUUUCUUGCCCACAAAAGCCGAACGGUGACGCCCCAGACUCGGUUUCUUGGUUCCGUCCCAAAACGCUGAAGAAAGGCACAAUGGCCUAGAAAGGGACGGUCGGACUUGGAACGAGGUCCGAGGCCUCGAAAGUACACAUGUAGCUACUGGGUGGUCUGAUUCUUAGUGACCUUGAAGUUUCUUAACCACAAAAGCCGAACGGUGACGCCCCAGACUCGGUUUCUUGGUUCCCUCCCAAAACGCCGAAGAAAGGCACAAUGGCCUAGAAAGGGACGGUCGGACUUGGAACGGGGUCCGAAGCCUCGAAAGUCCACAUGUAGCUACUGGGUGGUCCGAUUCUUUGUGAUCUCGAAGUUUCUUGACCACAAAAGCCGAACGGUGACGCCCAGACUCGGUUUCUUGGUUCCGUCCCAAAACGCCGAAGAAAAGCACAAUGGCCUAGAAAGGGACGGUCGGACUUGGAACGGGGUCCGAGGCCUCGAAAGUCCACAUCUAGCUACUGGGUGGUCUGAUUCUUUGUGAUCUCGAAGUUUCUUGCCCACAAAAGCCGAACGGUGACGCCCAGACUCGGUUUCUUAGUUCCGUCCCAAAACGCCGAAGAAAGGCACAAUUUCCUAGAAAGGGACGGUCGGACUUGGAACGGGGUCCGAGGCCUCGAAAGUCCAUAUCUAGCUACUGGGUGGUCCGAUUCUGAGUGAUCUCGAAGUUUCUUGCCCACAAAAGCCGAACGGUGACGCCCGAGACUCGGUUUCUUGGUUCCGUCCCAAAACGCCGAAGAAAAGCACAAUGGCCUAGAAAGGGACGGUCGGACUUGGAACGGGGUCCGAGGCCUCGAAAGUCCACAUCUAGCUACUGGGUGGUCUGAUUCUUUGUGAUCUCGAAGUUUCUUGCCCACAAAAGCCGAACGGUGACGCCCCAGACUCGGUUUCUUGGUUCCGUCCCAAAACGCCGAAGAAAGGCACAAUGGACUAGAAAGAGACGGUCGGACUUGGAACGGGGUCCGAGGCCUCAAAAGUCCACAUCUAGCUACUGGGUGGUCCGAUUCUUUGUGAUCUCGAAGUUUCUUGCCCACAAAAGCCGAACGGUGACGCCCCAGACUCGGUUUCUUGGUUCCGUCACAAAACGCCGAAGAAAGGCACAAUGGCCUAGAAAGGGACGGUCGGACUUGGAACGGGGUCCGAGGCCUCGAAAGUCCACAUCUAGCUACUGGGUGGUCCGAUUCUUUGUGAUCUCGAAGUUUCUUGCCCACAAAAGCCGAACGGUGACGCCCCAGACUCGGUUUCUUGGUUCCAUCCCAAAACGCGGAAGAAAGGCACAAUGGCCUAGAAAGGGACGGUCGGACUUGGAACGGGGUCCGUUGCCUCGAAAGUCCACAUCUAGCUACUGGGUGGUCCGAUUCUGAGUGAUCUCGAAGUUUCUUGCCCACAAAAGCCGAACGGUGACGCCUAGACUCGGUUUCUUGGUUUCGUCCCAAAACGCCGAAGAAAGGCACAGUGGCCUAGAAAGGGACGGUCGGACUUGGAACGGGGUCUGAGGCCUCGAAAGUCCACAUCUAGCUACUGGGUGGUCCGAUUCUUUGUGAUCUCGAAGUUUCUUGCCCACAAAAGCCGAACGGUGACGCCCAGACUCGGUUUCUUGGUUCCGUCCCAAAACGCCGAAAAAAGGCACAAUGGCCUAGAAAGGGACGGUCGGACUUGGAACGGGGUCCGAGGCCUCGAAAGUCCACAUCUAGCUACUGGUGGUCCGAUUCUUUGUGAUCUGGAAGUUUCUUGCCCACAAAAGCCGAACGGUGAUGCCCGAGACUCGGUUUCUUGGUUCCGUCCCAAAACGCCGAAGAAAGGCACAAUGGCCUAGAAAUGGACGGUCCGACUCGGAACGGGGUCCGAGGCCUCGAAAGUCCACAUCUAGCUACUGGGUGGUUCGAUUCAGAGUGAUCUCGAAGUUUCUUGCUCACAAAAGCCGAACGGUGACACCCCAGACUCGGUUUCUUGGUUCCGUCCCAAAACGCCGAAGAAAGGCACAAUGGCCUAGAAAGGGACGAUCGGACUUGGAACGGGGUCCGAGGCCUCGAUAGUCCACAUCUAGCUACUAGGUGGUCCGAUUCUUUGUGAUCUUGAAGUUUCUUGCCCACAAAAGCCGAACGGUGACGCCCCAGACUCGGUUUCUUGGUUUCGUCCCAAAACGCCGAAGAAAGGCACAAUGGCCUAGAAAGGGACGGUCGGACUUGGAACGGGGUCCGAGGCCUCGAAAGUCCACAUCUAGCUACUGGGUGGUCCGAUUCUUUGUGAUCUCGAAGUUUCUUGCACACAAAAGCCGAACGGUGACGCCCCAGACUCGGUUUCUUGGUUCCGUCCCAAAACGCCGAAGAAAGGCACAAUGGCCUAGAAAGGGACGGUCGGACUCGGAACGGGGUCCGAGGCCUCGAAAGUCCACAUCUAGCGACUGGGUGGUCCGAUUCAGAGUGAUCUCGAAGUUUCUUGCCCACAAAAGCCAAACGGUGACUCCCCAGACUCGGUUUCUUGGUUCCGUCCCAAAACGCCGAAGAAAGGCACAAUGGCUUAGAAAGGGACGGUCGGACUUGGAACGGGGUCCGAGGCCUCGAAAGUCCACAUCUAGCUACUGGGUGGUCCGAUUCUUUGUGAUCUCGAAGUUUCUUGCCCACAAAAGCCGAACGGUGACGCCCGAGACUCGGUUUCUUGGUUCCGUCCCAAAACGCCGAAGAAAGGCACAAUGGCCUAGAAAGGGACGGUCGGACUUGGAACGGGGUCCGAGGCCUCGAAAGUCCACAUCUAGCGACUGGGUGGUCCAAUUCAGAGUGAUCUCGAAGUUUCUUGCCCACAAAAGCCGAACGGUGACGCCCCAGACUCGGUUUCUUGGUUCCGUCCCAAAACGCCGAAGAAAGGCACAAUGGCCUAGAAAGGGACGGUUGGACUUGGAACGGGGUCCGAGGCCUCGAAAGUCCACAUCUAGCUACUAGGUGGUCCGAUUCUUUGUGAUCUUGAAGUUUCUUGCCCACAAAAGCCUAACGGUGACGCCCCAGACUCGGUUUCUUGGUUUCGUCCCAAAACGCCGAAGAAAGGCACAAUGGCCUAGAAAGGGACGGUCGGACUUGGAACGGGGUCCGAGGCCUCGAAAGUCCACAUCUAGCUACUGGGUGGUCCGAUUCUUUGUGAUCUCGAAGUUUCUUGCCCACAAAAGCCGAACGGUGACGCCCAGACUCGGUUUCUUGGUUCCGUCCCAAAACGCCGAAGAAAGGCACAAUGGCCUAGAAAGGGACGGUCGGACUCGGAACGAGGUCCGAGGACUCGAAAGUCCACAUCUAGCUACUGAGUGGUCCGAUUCUGAGUGAUCUCGAAGUUUCUUGCCCACAAAAGCCGAACGGUGACCCAUACUCGGUUUCUUGUUCCGUCCCAAAACGCCGAAGAAAGGCAAUGGCCUAGAAGGGACGGUCGGACUUGGAACGGGGUCCGAGGCCUCGAAAGUCCACAUCUAGCUACUGGGUGGUCCGAUUCUGAGUGACCUCGUAGUUUCUUGCCCACAAAAGCCGAACGAUGACACCUAGACUCGGUUUCUUGGUUCCGUCCCAAAACGCGGAAGAAAGGCACAAUGGCCUAGGAAGGGACGGUCGGACUUGGAACGGGGUCCGAGGCCUCGAAAGUCCACAUCUAGCUACUGGGUGGUCCGAUUCUUUGUGAUCUCGACGUUUCUUGCCCCAAAAGCCGAACGGUGACGCCCUCGACUCGGUUUCUUGGUUCCGUCAUAAAACGCCGAAGAAUAGCACAAUGGCCUAGAAAAGGGACGGUCGGACUUGGAACGGGGUCCGAGGCCUCGAAUGUCCACAUCUAGCUACUGGGUGGUCCGAUUCUUUUUUAUCUCGAAGUUUCUUGCCCACAAAAGCCGAACAGUGAUGCCCCAGACUCGGUUUCUUGGUUCCGUCCCAAAACGCCGAAGAAAGGCACAAUGGCCUAGAAAAGGGACGGUCGGACUUGGAACGGGUUCCGAGGCCUCGAAAGUCCACAUCUAGCUACUGGGUGGUCCGAUUCUUUGUGAUCUCGAAGUUUCUUGCACACAAAAGCCGAACGGUGACGCCCCAGACUCGGUUUCUUGGUUCCGUCCAAAAUGCCGAAGAAAGGCACAAUGGCCUAGAAAGGGACGGUCGGACUUGGAACGGGGUCCGAGGCCUCAAAAGUCCACAUCUAGCUACUGGGUGGUCCGAUUCUUUGUGAUCUCGAAGUUUCUUGCCCACAAAAGCCGAACGGUGAUGCCCC
Molecule: long non-coding RNA, 6180 nt
Filed under: Cucumis sativus (cucumber)
Lineage: Eukaryota; Viridiplantae; Streptophyta; Magnoliopsida; Cucurbitales; Cucurbitaceae
Description: long non-coding RNA (CSAT_LNC000178)
Source: RNAcentral